CCCGGGGAGGAGUACCUCAUCAUGGGCUACGAGAACGAGGAGACCUCCAGGUUGCUCCUGAUUGACGGCUCCAUUGCUCAAAGGUGGAGGGAAAAAAUGGGCAGGAAGGUCAAGAGAUGGGAUAAGAUCAUGCAGGGGAGAGGCCGAGGAGCUCAGCGCCAGGGUCGCCACUGAGAUCUGAGUGUGUGUGUGUGUGUGUGUGUGUGUGUGUGUGUGUGUGUGU
This is a long non-coding RNA of Notothenia coriiceps (black rockcod), 223 nucleotides long. RefSeq lists it as uncharacterized. The transcript has 3 exons. Lineage: Eukaryota; Metazoa; Chordata; Actinopteri; Perciformes; Nototheniidae. The record is from RefSeq and is a predicted model, not a curated record.